GCCUUGGUAGUGUAGUCUGGCCUAUCAUGAAGCCCUGUCGAUGCAACAUUGUUGCAACAGAUAGGCUUCGACCCGGGUUCGAAUCCCGGCCAGGGCG
Molecule: transfer RNA, 97 nt
Filed under: archaeon D22
Lineage: Archaea
Rfam family: tRNA
About the family: Transfer RNA (tRNA) molecules are approximately 80 nucleotides in length. Their secondary structure includes four short double-helical elements and three loops (D, anti-codon, and T loops). Further hydrogen bonds mediate the characteristic L-shaped molecular structure. tRNAs have two regions of fundamental functional importance: the anti-codon, which is responsible for specific mRNA codon recognition, and the 3' end, to which the tRNAs corresponding amino acid is attached (by aminoacyl-tRNA synthetases). tRNAs cope with the degeneracy of the genetic code in two manners: having more than one tRNA (with a specific anti-codon) for a particular amino acid; and 'wobble' base-pairing, i.e. permitting non-standard base-pairing at the 3rd anti-codon position.
Source: Rfam by way of RNAcentral